Molecule: long non-coding RNA, 4528 nt
Organism: Psammomys obesus (fat sand rat)
Lineage: Eukaryota; Metazoa; Chordata; Mammalia; Rodentia; Muridae
Exons: 2
Source: RefSeq, a predicted model, not a curated record
AUAGAUAGAUAGAUAGAUAGAUAGAUAGAUAGAUAGAUAGAAGCAAACAAAAAAGAAAAAGAAAUUACCCCACCCUACAGGAUGCUGUUGCUCACCUCUAGGAUGUGUCCUUAAUAAACCUAAAAAACAGUUCCUCACAGAAAGAGCCAGAAAGUAGUCUCCAAGAUGAGUCCAUAUCAAGCCACGUUUAAAACAGUGCUAAACCAGGACAAACCAUGCUCCGGCUUUACUGUGAAACGUCUUUCACGGGCUCAUACAUUUGCACUGGGAUGCUGUGGAACCUUCCGGAGUUGGGGCCAAGCUGGCAUUGCUUCCUCAAGCAAGCAUUGCCCGAUUCCUUGAUUUCCUGACCCAUCAAGAUGUCCCAGCUACAAGCUCCAGCCCCUCGGAAUCCAGCAGGCCUUCACUGACAGGAUGGGCUGUACUCCCUCCAACCCUGAGCCAGGAUAAACUGGCCCGUCUCUAAGCCGCUUCCGCCAGACACUGUGUCACAGCCACAAGAAGGGUAUGCUGGAUUAGGCAGGAUGGCCCUGGCGUCAACGGCCUCUCUGAAGCCUCCGUGCUCCUGGCUGUAAGGGGAAGCCGACAGUACAUGGAUGAGGACCUCAGUGGAGACACCAAGGAACCUGGACGCUCCUGCUGAGGACCCAAGUGCUGUCCCCAACACCCACUGGUGGCUCAGGUGGUCCGCCUUGAUUCCUGGAGCACCGGGAUCACAAAUGCAACCCUAACUUCUCUCUGCGAACUAGCCCACCAUCCCCAGACACCGGCUCUGUCUUCACAGGCGGCCCCCUUCAUGUCUGCAUCUCCGAGAAACCAAACACGGCUUAUUUCCCGUUAAUUUUCAUCUGCUUUUACUAUUUUGAUCGCACAAGUGCAUACUUGUCAUCGAUGAGGAAGAAGAUAGUCAUGAGCUAGAAAGUGCCACAGGCCUGUUAUCCUAGUGCUCAGAAGGCUUAGGAAGACCACUGUUGGGAAUUUCAGGCAAGCCUGGGCUACAUGGAAAGGUCCUGUGGGGAUGGGGUGGAGUGUAGGGCUAUAGGUCAGUGGCAGAGAGUUCAACUCCCAGUACCCUAUAAAAUGGAUGUCACAGCAAAUGCCUGCAAUCUCUGAUCUUGGGGGGCAGAGGCAGGAAAAUCAGGGCUUCAAGGUCAUCCAUGGUUAUAAAGCGAGUUCCGGACCAGCCUGAGCUGUGUGAGACCCUUUCUAUAGAAAAAAAACUCAGAUCCCAAACUCAGAGGUAAGUGUUGGUAAUAAUUUAUAUUUAAAUUUAACUCAAUAUUUAAAUCUGAAUAUAAUCUGAAUAUGGCAUGUGAUCCUUCAUAUGGAACACUAUUCUCUUUUUACAGUUUUUUGUUGCUGCUGUGGCUGCUGGCCUAAACCUGGGGUGAGCCUCCUGCCUCUGCCUCCAGGGUGCUGAGACAACAAGCCAGGGCACGAUACCCAACUUUUACCAAAAAUUUUCUUACAUAAAAUACUCCAACUGUUUUCGUAGUCAUCAGUUCAGUGGCACAUUUUCUUUCCCAUCGGUAUACUAUUUCUUCUUCUUUUUUUAAAAAUUUAUUUAUUUUUUAUAUUAAUCACAGAUUAUUUACUUUGUAUUCCAGCCAUAGCCCCCUCCUCUUUUCCUCCCAAUCCCACCCUCCCUCCCUCAUCUUCUCCCUGCCCCUUUGCAAGUCCUCUAACAGGGGAGGAUCUCCUCCCCCUCCAUCUGACCCUAGCUUAUCAAGUCUCCUCAGGACUGGCUGCAAUGUCCUCUUCUGUGGCCUAGCAAGGCUGCUCCUCCCUCGUGGGGGGUGGUGGUGGAAGAGCUCGCCAUUGGGUUCAUGUCAGAAAUAGUCCCUGUUUUCCUUAUUAGAGAACGCAUUUGGACACUGAGCUACCAUGGGCUAUAUCCAAGCAAGGGUUCUAGAUUAUAUCGAUACAUGGUCCUUGGUUGGGGAAACAAUCUCAUGAAAGACCCCUGUGCCCUGACAUAUUUGGUCCUUGUGGUGCUCCUGUCCUCUCCAGGUCUUACUGACUCCUCCUUCUUUCAUACUUUUUCUUCUUAACGUGCUCUGCCAGGUCUGCUUGUUCUCAUGUGCUGAAUGUUUGCGUUAUCAUCAUGUUCCCUGUCUGAAGAGACCUGUGAGUUCCUUUAUGCUUCUCCUGCCUGGGUCCUGAAGGUGGGACAGGCUGGUGGAGUGGCAGGAUGGCAGGGAGAAGGGUGGCAGGGUGGCAGGGAGGAAGGGUGGCAGGAAAGAAGGGUGGCAGGUCUUCUGUGGAUGGGUAAUGUGGACGGGCUCCUGGUUGUUGUCUGGGGACCUUCUCACCUACUCUUUCUAAACACAGGAGGUCAGAGAAGGGUCACAAGAAAACCUGUCCUGAUGACCCUGUUGGGGCUGGCUGGCGUUUCAGAAAAGAGAAGGGGUCAUUAGUCACCAAUAACCUACUAUUUCCUGGCGAUUCCCGGCAAGCCGUAGAAAAGGCCCUGGUAGUUAAUAUAAUGAGGAGCCUGGUUCGCUCUGUGGUUGUCUCAUGCAGGAAGUAAACAAAUAAAGCCAGGAAAGGGCGCGUAUGCUUGGGCCGGUACCCUCCCACCCCAUUUCUGCCAAGAAAGCAGGUACAUGGAUGGAUCACCUGCCUUUCCCCCCUAGGAGCUGUGUACUCUCCCCCAUCCUGGGCACUCUUACCCACUUCUCAUGGGCCAGCCUGGACGGGAAGCAGAAGUCAGUCCACACGGUAUCCAUCGGGGACACCCAGAGCAGCCAUACAUGCCUCACCCUGGGGGGACGCAGGCAGGCUCCCAAGAGGAAACCCAGAAUGUCAGAUCUUCCACCAUGGGAAGUCCUGGGGAUUGAACUCAGGUCAUCAGGUUUGGUAAUGAGUGUCUUUACCCAAUGAGCCGGGCCUCUGAUGUUUGUUUCUUUAACUUCUGGUAUUUGGAAACGGUGUCUCAUGCAGCUCAGGUUGGCCUCAGACUCCCCUGAAGCCAAGGAUGGCCUUGGACGCCUGAUCCUCUUGCCUCUAGCUGCCUGGUGCUGGGGCUACAGAUGUGCUGCCUUCACACCCGGUUUAUAUCGAGCUGGGGAAGAACCCAGGGCCUCCCGCAUUCUGUGCAGCUACCAAUUGCGCCCCAGCCCCUAAACUGCCUCUCAGAACAUGGUUCUGGCCCUGAUGGAGAAGGAAGUGCCUCACCACACCUGAUACUGACAGACAUUUGGAUUGGCGUGUCCGCCUCUCCCUUCAGAGCGUUUCCCGCAGCCAUGUCUCACAGCUGUGCGAACCCAGUGUGGCUUGUCGUGCUGGGUAUUUGGGCCUCAACCUCCCGACCCUACGAAGGAGAGAGAAGGUUAGUGGGAAGAGAGGGCCCUUUACUUCUCCCCACUGUUUAGGGCCGAUGGGUCUUUUAGGGCUCUGCUCCUACCCACGUGGAUCCUGGCCUGCUGGUUCCAUGACUGACUUGUGGGUGUUACAGACGCGGUGAUGAACUCUCGCCUGGCCUGGUGGCAUGAGGAAUGGUUCUGUCUGGUGUUGCCAGGCCUGGCAGAGAACACAGCUCCCAGGCAGCCACAGGAUCACGCGGCGAGCGGCCAGAGCCUGUCACUAACAAAGGAAGAAAAGAAGAAGGGAAGGAAGAAUUUAUACACGCUGCCAUCAUUACGUACAGUCACCACCAGAUACACUUAGGGUCUGUGAGGUGUUUUGAAUGUGCAUGUGGGUGUGGACACUUGUAUAACUUUGGCUGGGUCAAGGCCGGUGGCAGCAGGAUCCUUCUGGCUUCUGCUUUACAGGAGGACGGGCCUUUCGCCACAGCAGGAGGACACCUAAGAGGUGACCCAAAGGCAGCAUUCCCCCACUGCCCUGGUGCUGAGCUGCGUGCUGUGUGCUCUGUGUGUACUGAGUUCUGAGGUGUGCGUUGCUUUUGAUUUGGCGGCCGCUGCUCCGAAAAUGACGGGAGCAUGCUGGACUCUUAGGAGGCUGCCCCCGAACUGGUUCCAGUCGGACUCUCUGUCCCUCUCCCCCAUUUUAUCUCUAGGGUUUGGCUGGCUGGAAGGUACUACCUCUGGGUGAGCAGGAGCUCAGUGGCAGAGUAAUGGGCUGGAACACAUGAGGCCCUGGGUUCUUGCAGGACAAGGUGGCCAUGUUGGAAGUAUAAGGGCAGAGGAAUGAAGGGAGCCAGGAAGUGCCAGGAGAUGUGACCACAGUUGCCAACAGCUUCUGUAUUGGGUGGCCACUGCCCAGAAGAUAUGAAAUUUAAAGGAUCGUCAGUGGCUACACCCUGGUGAAGCCAAGGGCCUUACAAAGUGCCGCCAGGAAAAUCAGUCUGCUCCACUGCUCAUUUUUAUCAUGAGAAAUGAAAUGAGAGUUUGAAGUUUGAGCUCCAGGAUCCCCAUGAUGGAAGGAGAGAAACCAUGCCCUCAAGUUGUCCUCUGACCCCACCAAAUGCAUGUUUCCGUGUGCAUGAAAACACACACACACACACACACACACACACACACACACACACACACGAUAGUAGUAAUAAAAACAAUAACUUGCAUAUUCA